RNAcentral lists this ribosomal RNA (464 nucleotides) under uncultured bacterium. Its description in RNAcentral is "partial 16S ribosomal RNA". It matches the Rfam family "Bacterial small subunit ribosomal RNA", at positions 28 to 507 of the family's 1533-position model. The record is from RNAcentral.
GACGAACGCUGGCGGCGUGCUUAACACAUGCAAGUCGAACGGAAAGGCCCAGCUUGCUGGGUGCUCGAGUGGCGAACGGGUGAGUAACACGUGGGUGAUCUGCCUCUAACUUCGGGAUAAGCUUGGGAAACUGGGUCUAAUACUGGAUAGGACAUCUGAUCAGUGUCGGUUGUGGAAAGUUUUUUCGGUUAGGGGUGAGCCCGCGGCCUAUCAGCUUGUUGGUGGGGUAAUGGCCUACCAAGGCGUCGACGGGUAGCCGGCCUGAGAGGGUGGACGGCCACAUUGGGACUGAGAUACGGCCCAGACUCCUACGGGAGGCAGCAGUGGGGAAUAUUGCACAAUGGGCGCAAGCCUGAUGCAGCGACGCCGCGUGGGGGAUGACGGCCUUCGGGUUGUAAACCUCUUUCGACAGGGACGAAGCUUUGGUGACGGUACCUGUAUAAGAAGCACCGGCUAACUACGUG